UGAACGCUAGCGGCAGGCCUAAUACAUGCAAGUCGUACGGGAUAGACACUUCGGGUGUCUUGAGAGUGGCGCACGGGUGCGCAACGCGUAUGCAACCAACCCCCGACGGGCGGAUAGCCGGUGGAAACGCCGGAUAAUACGCCAUGGUUCCUGAGAGGGGCAUCCCUCUCAGGAUAAAGCAGUGAUGCGGUCGGGGACGGGCAUGCGUCCCAUUAGAUUGUAGCGGGGUGACGGCCCACCUAGUCGACGAUGGGUAGGGGAUCUGAGAGGACGGUCCCCCACACUGGUACUGAGACACGGACCAGACUCCUGCGGGAGGCAGCAGUAAGGGAUAUUGGGCAAUGGUCGGAAGACUGACCCAGCCCAUGCCGCGUGAGGGAAUGAGGCCCUACGGGUCGUGAACCUCUUUUAUUCGGGGACAAGGACGGCGUCGAGAACGUUGUUUGAGGGUACCGAAGGAAUAAGCGUCGGCUAACUCCGUGCCAGCCGCGGC
Molecule: ribosomal RNA, 493 nt
Filed under: uncultured bacterium
Lineage: Bacteria
Description: bacterial SSU rRNA
Rfam family: Bacterial small subunit ribosomal RNA
Source: RNAcentral